RNAcentral lists this ribosomal RNA (503 nucleotides) under uncultured bacterium. RNAcentral describes it as "partial 16S ribosomal RNA". It matches the Rfam family "Bacterial small subunit ribosomal RNA", at positions 30 to 523 of the family's 1533-position model. The record is from RNAcentral.
AUUGAACGCUGGCGGCAGGCUUAACACAUGCAAGUCGAGCGGGGUGAUGGUGCUUGCACUAUCACUUAGCGGCGGACGGGUGAGUAAUGCUUAGGAAUCUGCCUAUUAGUGGGGGACAACAUCUCGAAAGGGAUGCUAAUACCGCAUACGUCCUACGGGAGAAAGCAGGGGAUCACUUGUGACCUUGCGCUAAUAGAUGAGCCUAAGUCGGAUUAGCUAGUUGGUGGGGUAAAGGCCUACCAAGGCGACGAUCCGUAGCGGGUCUGAGAGGACGAUCCACCACACUGGGAACUAGCCACGGCCCAGCCUCCUCCGGGCGGGAGCAGUGGGGAUUAUUGGACAAUGGGGCGAACCCUGAUCCAUCCAUGCCGCGUGUGUGAAUAAUGCCUUUGGGUUGUAAAGCACUUUAAGUGAGGAGGAGGCUCUUUUGGUUAAUACCCAAGAUGACUUGACGUUACUCGCAGAAUAAGCACCGGCUAACUCUGUGCCAGCCGCCGCUGUAA